GUCUACGGCCAUGCCACCCUGAACAAGCCCAACCCCAUCUGAUCUUGGAAGCUAAGCAGGAUCGGGCCUGGUUAGUACUUGGAUGAGAGACCACAUAGGAAGACCAGGUGCUGUAGACG
This 119-nucleotide ribosomal RNA is filed under the name Pteropus alecto (black flying fox). Lineage: Eukaryota; Metazoa; Chordata; Mammalia; Chiroptera; Pteropodidae. The record is from RNAcentral.